GUGGGGAAUAUUGCACAAUGGGCGCAAGCCUGAUGCAGCGACGCCGCGUGAGGGAUGGAGGCCUUCGGGUUGUGAACCUCUUUCGCCAGUGAAGCAGGCCUGCUCCUUUUUUGUGGGUGGGUUGACGGUAGCUGGAUAAGAAGCGCCGGCUAACUACGUGCCAGCAGCCGCGGUAAUACGUAGGGCGCGAGCGUUGUCCGGAAUUAUUGGGCGUAAAGAGCUCGUAGGCGGCUGGUCGCGUCUGUCGUGAAAUCCUCUGGCUUAACUGGGGGCUUGCGGUGGGUACGGGCCGGCUUGAGUGCGGUAGGGGAGGCUGGAACUCCUGGUGUAGCGGUGGAAUGCGCAGAUAUCAGGAAGAACACCGGUGGCGAAGGCGGGUCUCUGGGCCGUUACUGACGCUGAGGAGCGAAAGCGUGGGGAGCGAACAGG
This 429-nucleotide ribosomal RNA is filed under the name uncultured bacterium. Its description in RNAcentral is "bacterial SSU rRNA". It matches the Rfam family "Bacterial small subunit ribosomal RNA", at positions 354 to 776 of the family's 1533-position model. The record is from RNAcentral.